Molecule: ribosomal RNA, 276 nt
Filed under: uncultured bacterium
Lineage: Bacteria
Description: partial 16S ribosomal RNA
Rfam family: Bacterial small subunit ribosomal RNA
Source: RNAcentral
UCUUCUCCGCCGGCGACCGGCGCACGGGUGAGUAACACGUAUGCAACCUGCCCCUGUCAGGGGGACAACCCGCCGAAAGGCGGGCUAAACCCGCGUACAUGCCACCGGGGCAUCCCGGAGGCAGGAAAGGCUUCGGCCGGACAGGGAUGGGCAUGCGGCGCAUUAGGCAGUAGGCGGGGUAACGGCCCACCUAACCGACGAUGCGUAGGGGUUCUGAGAGGAAGGUCCCCCACACUGGUACUGAGACGCGGACCAGACUCCUACGGAAGGCAGCAG